CACCAGCAACUGGAAUGGGGAGGAAACGAGACUAAGAAAGUACCCGAGUCAGAAAGAAGGGGAAGCCCCAUUGGAAGUGUGGGCCCUAAGGACAUGGAAGCUGGCUUUUUGUUUUUUAAGGUCUCAGAGUGAGAAACAAGAUGCUCCAUGUUUAUCUGUGCAGGUGAGAUCCUCACUGUGGCAAGAACCAGAGGAAGGUGUGAUGGCGGGAGGGGGGGUUGCCCAUCGAGGGAGCCUGGCACCUGAGGGGCCUCCUAAGGAUGCACGUGUGACUGGGAGUGAGAAGGUGCCCGGGGCCCUGGUGCACAGCUGAGCACACACACGUUUGCCCCUUGGUCCCCGUCUUUGGAGCUGGGCCCAUCAGAGGACAGAGAUGGUCUAAGGCCUCCUUGCCUUCUCUGUGUGUCUUUGCAUUUUUAAAAGUUGUUACUGUGUUUGCUCUGUCACCUCACGGUUUUGGUACUUCACAGUUAAUCAGGAAGAAUUCAUGGGACACCACGGACGGAGGCUCCUCUGGAAUAUGGAACUGGGCUCUCAGGCUUCCUUUGCACUGCGUGCUCUCUUGUUCCACUUGAACGUCUGGUUCUAAAUUUGUUUCAUUUUCACCAUAAAAUGAGGGGGAAUCAUUGUGAUGAGCAGCGAGCCAUGGUGUGUCUCCCCCAAGACCUUGCUUGAGCAGAUUAGAAGGUGCCUUCAAAAGCCGCUUCUCUCUGCACCCACUCAUUCAUUCAGGACAUAGGUGAUAAGUGUUUCCUACAUGCCAGGCACAGUUCUGAAAGCUGAGGAUACAGCAGUGAACAAACAGAUGAAAAUCCCUGCCCUCCUGGGGGCUUAGAUUCUACCGAGUAUAGAAAGACAUAGAACAAAAUUAAUUUAUUAAGCGUCCCCCUCGUGCCCAGCGGCUUAAGGAUCUGGCAUUGUCACUGCAGCAGCGUGGGUACUUGCUGUGGCUUGGGUUGGAUCCCUGGCCCGGGAACUUGUGCAUUUCAGGAGCACAGCCAAAAUAAUAAUAAUAAUAAACAAUUUGGUACAGGGGAGGAGAAAGGACA
Molecule: long non-coding RNA, 1049 nt
Filed under: Sus scrofa (pig)
Lineage: Eukaryota; Metazoa; Chordata; Mammalia; Artiodactyla; Suidae
Description: lncRNA (ENSSSCG00070022604.1)
Source: RNAcentral